CACAGGGACAAGCUUAGCACCAUCUCCCUCUGGUCGAAGAGGGGAGUCUCGUUGCAGAAGUAGUUCAUCCACCAGCCCGGAUGGUGUUCAGAGCUGAAGUCUUUCCUGAACCCUUCGCCCCGAGCAGCACAAGGCGGAUGGUGGUGACCGGCCUUAACUUCUCUACAAGCACAAAGAGAGCAGAGGGAUGAUUUUAGACUUCUUUGCCUUAAAGCAGCCAUUAUGCGGUGCGUACAGCGGUAACAUCAGCCGACCAAACAUGCUGGGUUGCUAGGUGACGGGUGGAGCUCAGCUGGCGUUGCUAGGUAACGGGACAGUGUCUGUGGAUUGUGACUCAAAAGUUUGGAGAAUUUUGAAAUGGCUCGUUUUUCAGACACCAAAAAACGUUUAACUUAUUACCAAAAACUGGUGGGGUGUUUUAUUUUUAUAGGCAGUUGAGACACAGAUGGAAAUACAAAAACAUAAACAAAAUGUUUCCUUAUAGGUCCCCUUUAAGUCAGGGUUACAGGAAUAGUUAGUCAUUUUAAAAUAUUAGCAUUUUUCAAAGCAACUUGACUAUAAACGGCAUUCUUACAUUCUUAGAAAUUCAAAAUUCAAAUUGACUAAUACAUGUAUUUAGGAUGUUGAAAAAUCAAAAUAUAGAAGCUGAUACAUAAAAGCUGGACUGUUGAGUCUUAGGCUAUAGCUUUAGAUUAUUUAUUUUGAAUAUUUGCUCAAUGUGUCAGAGCAAAAACUUAUAUUAUGCACUGCAAAUAAAAACUAUAGUUAAUAAAUGUUCAAUAGAGGACAUUUAUGCUUCAGUUUCAGUUGUGUAAACGUAGCAGUGUUUUUAAUUAGAUAAACCUAUCAUUUCAUAUGUAUUUACAGCUUUAGGCUGUAAAUAAACAUCAGAUAAAGAAAUAAAUUGUUGGUAAUUAAAAUCGGCCUCAGGUGUGUUACCACCAACAGCCACUAGGGGCUGAGUAAAACAUUUUCUGUUUGAAACUACAUUAAAAAAAGAUAUUGUUCUGUUUUACAAAAUGUUAAUAAAUAUUUUCCCACACCUUGAAUGAUGUGGUUCACUGUUCUGGACAGAGCUUUGUGUCCAUUAGGCUUUAAAACAUAAACUUUAACCUUUAAACUUCCUGAUGACACCAGUAAAGCUCUUUCCACCGUCACAGUGUAACAUUAAGACACUGUGACAUUAACCACGUCCUCCUCCUCUCAGUGUUUUCUUAAAGAUUGCACAGUGAUAAAGCGUACAGAAUAAACACUGUUAGACUUUAAAGAUCUUCACCAUAUAAAUGUCAUGUAAAAAAGAUAAGAGAGCACUCAGGGUUUUGUCUCUAAAAGUCAUUUAUCAGGGAAAUGUAACCAAUCUUGGCUCCUAUCGACUUUCUGAUCUUGUGUCUUGAGCUGCAAGCUUAUAUAUUCUUCUGAGCCUAUAAAAAGAAAGUAUUUCUGAAGAACUUGGGGUUUGCAGUAAUAGAGUUGUGUUAUUGGGUUUUGUUCAGCAUAUUUACAACAUGUCCUCUUCUGCACUCCCAGAUUUCUCAGAUAAAACAUUUACAUAAUGACCACAUUUCUCUGUUUCCCACAGGUUUGAGGCUAAAAGCUGCUUUUUCUCUGUUCAUGCAUGAGGAAGUUUUGUUUUCCAUCUUUAAAUGGGUUUCAUGUGCUGCUGCAGUGAAGAUAAGCUGAGGAAACGUCUGAAUGCAAAACAGGAAGGAAAGCAGCAGAUUCAUAUCCAGCAGAGAAGCAGUAAAAAAAUUCUGCUGUUUAUUUUAGAGCUGCAGAGGAUGAACUGGGACAAAACAAGAUUUAGUCACAUAUAAGGCAGGAAAUGCACACUGUAAAACAUUUCAAAUUGGUUUAACUUGAAAAUAAAAGUCCAGAUGCUGCCUUGAAAAUUAAGUUAA
Molecule: non-coding RNA, 1898 nt
Organism: Poecilia reticulata (guppy)
Lineage: Eukaryota; Metazoa; Chordata; Actinopteri; Cyprinodontiformes; Poeciliidae
Source: RefSeq, a predicted model, not a curated record